This is a long non-coding RNA of Siniperca chuatsi (mandarin fish), 528 nucleotides long. RefSeq lists it as uncharacterized. The transcript has 2 exons. The record is from RefSeq and is a predicted model, not a curated record. NCBI's taxonomy places the organism in Eukaryota, Metazoa, Chordata, Actinopteri, Centrarchiformes, Sinipercidae.
GUGGCUCCAAUGACACGGUUUAGCGUCCACCAAGCAUCUGAUUUUGUUUCACCGGUCCCACUCUGUUCUGUGCUGUCUAAAGAAAUGGAAGAAAAAAGUAUUUUUACUGUUGCUGAGGCUGGCUACCGGAGCACCAGACAAACAACCCCACAAUAACAACGAAGAUCCCAUGUACUGACAGACCAUGGACAGCGGUGUAUUACUGAAGCGGUGAAAUAAUUACAAGUUGAUACACAGACCGUGUCUUGGGUGGGAAUCCCCACCGAUGUAAUCUUCACUGAGUUAGGAGUUAUAGUAUAAGUAAUAGCACCUACUUGUCUAAGUUGCAUCCAUACCCUUUGCCUCUGAUGAGGAAAAUACCUUAAACAGAAAGAUCUUAGUCAUUUUUUUAAAUUUAAUUUCAUUCUUCCUGCUUUCUAAAACACAUGUCCAGCAGCAAAACAUGGAAAGAUAUAGAACAUGUUUUGACUGAUCCAGUAACUUGACACAUCCUGUGUUAAUAAAAUCAGUGAGGAUGUGAAGAUGAAA